AUUGAACGCUGGCGGCAUGCCUUACACAUGCAAGUCGAACGGCAGCACGGGAGCAAUCCUGGUGGCGAGUGGCGAACGGGUGAGUAAUAUAUCGGAACGUGCCCGGUCGUGGGGAUAACGUAGCGAAAGCUACGCUAAUACCGCAUACGAUCUACGGAUGAAAGCGGGGGAUCGCAAGACCUCGCGCGAUUGGAGCGGCCGAUAUCAGAUUAGGUAGUUGGUGAGGUAAAGGCUCACCAAGCCGACGAUCUGUAGCUGGUCUGAGAGGACGACCAGCCACACUGGGACUGAGACACGGCCCAGACUCCUACGGGAGGCAGCAGUGGGGAAUUUUGGACAAAUGGGCGCAAGCCUGAUCCAGCAAUGCCGCGUGC
This 374-nucleotide ribosomal RNA is filed under the name uncultured bacterium. Its description in RNAcentral is "bacterial SSU rRNA". It matches the Rfam family "Bacterial small subunit ribosomal RNA", at positions 30 to 404 of the family's 1533-position model. The record is from RNAcentral.